UACGUAGGGUGCAAGCGUUAAUCGGAAUUACUGGGCGUAAAGCGUGCGCAGGCGGUUUUGUAAGUCUGUCGUGAGAGCCCCGGGCUCAACCUGGGAAUUGCGAUGGAGACUGCAAGGCUUGAAUCUGGCAGAGGGGGGUAGAAUUCCACGUGUAGCAGUGAAAUGCGUAGAGAUGUGGAGGAACACCGAUGGCGAAGGCAGCCCCCUGGGUCAAGAUUGACGCUCAUGCACGAAAGCGUGGGGAGCAAACAGG
Molecule: ribosomal RNA, 253 nt
Filed under: uncultured bacterium
Lineage: Bacteria
Description: partial 16S ribosomal RNA
Rfam family: Bacterial small subunit ribosomal RNA
Source: RNAcentral